GACGAACGCUGGCGGCGUGCUUAACACAUGCAAGUCGAACGAUGAACCAGGGCUUGCCCUGGGGAUUAGUGGCGAACGGGUGAGUAACACGUGGGCAACCUACCCCAGACACCGGGAUAACCUCUCGAAAGAGUGGCUAAUACCGGAUAUGACCACUUCGGGCAUCCGACGGUGGUGGAAAGGAUUCUGGUCUGGGAUGGGCCCGCGGCCUAUCAGCUAGUUGGUGGGGUAAUGGCCUACCAAGGCGUCGACGGGUAGCCGGCCUGAGAGGGCGACCGGCCACACUGGGACUGAGACACGGCCCAGACCCCUACGGGAGGCAGCAGUGGGGAAUAUUGCGCAAUGGGCGAAAGCCUGACGCAGCGACGCCGCGUGAGGGACGAAGGUCUUCGGAUUGUAAACCUCUUUCAGCAGGGACGAAGCGAAAGUGACUGUACCUGCAGAAGAAGCACCGGCUAACUACGUGCC
Molecule: ribosomal RNA, 468 nt
Filed under: uncultured bacterium
Lineage: Bacteria
Description: bacterial SSU rRNA
Rfam family: Bacterial small subunit ribosomal RNA
Source: RNAcentral